UGGCCGUUAUUCACUUCCUUUUAGAGGUCUUGUUUCUUCCUUUCAUGCUACCAAGGCAGGUGCUCUACCUGCUUGUUGUUUGGAGAGGAAUCCAUCAAUCAAAGAACCCAAGGAAGGAGUAAACCACUAAAGUCGAUCCUUGAUGCCACAAUAAUCUCCUCCUCCCAUGUGCCAUCCCUUCUGUAAAGAGGUGAAAUUCCAAAGGAGCUAUAUUGACAUGAGUUGACAGUGCUCUUAGCAUAAUACUGGAGGAAGAAAAUAAGAAUGGUAACUAGAUUGAUGGUGUCCAUCUUGAUGGGCUAGAUGGUGGUUGUGUAAAGAAACAGUAUGAGGGGCCACACACUUUGAUUGAUUUGCUGGUCCUCUUUUGGUGGGUGGGUGACACUACCUUUUCCAACCUUAGAUCAUAAGCCAGCUCGC
RNAcentral lists this long non-coding RNA (420 nucleotides) under Elaeis guineensis (African oil palm). RNAcentral describes it as "long non-coding RNA (EGUI_LNC005251)". Lineage: Eukaryota; Viridiplantae; Streptophyta; Magnoliopsida; Arecales; Arecaceae. The record is from RNAcentral.